Ribosomal RNA from Pteropus vampyrus (large flying fox), 119 nucleotides. NCBI's taxonomy places the organism in Eukaryota, Metazoa, Chordata, Mammalia, Chiroptera, Pteropodidae. The record is from Ensembl.
GUUUAUGGCCAUGGUACCCUGAACAAGGCCAAUCCUGUUUGAUCUUGGAAGCUCAGCAGGGUCCAGCCUAGUUAGUACUUGGAUGGGAGACCACCUAGGAAAAUCAGGUGCUGAAGACG